AAGUCGUAACAAGGUUUCCGUAGGUGAACCUGCGGAAGGAUCAUUAAAGAGUAAGGGUCUCGACUUAUACAGAGCCCGACCUCCAACCCUUUGUCUACCUUACCAAUGUUGCUUCGGCGAGCCCGCUUCUAACGAGGCCGCCGGAGGGUCGUUAAACACCCUCUGGUCAGUGCUCGCCGGUAGCCCCAACCAAAACUCUUGUUAAGAACCCGUCUGAGUAUAUACAAACAAAUAAGUAAAAACUUUCAACAACGGAUCUCUUGGUUCUG
RNAcentral lists this unclassified non-coding RNA (269 nucleotides) under air metagenome. RNAcentral describes it as "partial contains small subunit ribosomal RNA, internal transcribed spacer 1, and 5.8S ribosomal RNA". The stretch from base 1 to 46 matches the Rfam family "Eukaryotic small subunit ribosomal RNA", at positions 1786 to 1831 of the family's 1831-position model. The record is from RNAcentral.